RNAcentral lists this ribosomal RNA (159 nucleotides) under Athanas japonicus. Its description in RNAcentral is "partial 16S ribosomal RNA". Lineage: Eukaryota; Metazoa; Arthropoda; Malacostraca; Decapoda; Alpheidae. The record is from RNAcentral.
ACUUUACAUUGUAUAUUUAUUUUCCAUAUAUUUAUAAACCGAGGAUAAAUGUAACAUGUUGGGCUGGGGCGGCAGGAAUAAAAAAAUUAACUGUUCUGUAAAAUAAAAUACGUAUAAGUAGAUGUUGAACCUUCAGUGUGAGGAUUAUAAGAUUAAGUU